RNAcentral lists this long non-coding RNA (1356 nucleotides) under Canis lupus familiaris (dog). Its description in RNAcentral is "lncRNA (ENSCAFG00030022052.1)". Lineage: Eukaryota; Metazoa; Chordata; Mammalia; Carnivora; Canidae. The record is from RNAcentral.
AUGGAGCUUCUUCUCCAGCAGGCUCUUCUCCAGGAAGCGGAGCAGCUCCCGCAGGCGAGCGUCCAGCUGCCCGGCCCUCCAGUCGGCCGGCCGGCGGCGGAGCAGGAGGUGCAGCAGGGCCGUCUUCAGGUGGUAGUUGCCGAGCCCGCUGCGGCCGGUCAGGCGGCUCUGCUUGGAGAGCAGGAAGGAGGCGAUCUGCAGGCAGCUGAGGUGGCAGGCGCCCUCCGGCAGGGCCUUCGAGGUCACCCUGAGGAAGUGCCGCUCGUACACAGCGAAGGACAGGAGCCAGUCGCUGCUGGACGCCGGGGCCUCCCCCGAGGGCUCCCUGGGAAGGUGGGAGACAAAGUACAGGUCCGAGUCGUCACACUGGAUCACCGGAAUCAGGUGGAAGGGCAUAAACUUCCCCGAGCGGAACUUGAUCUUGAGGGAGCCGGGCCGGUCCAGCUGACCGAAGGCCAGGUCGAACUCGUACUUGUGGGCGAUGCGGUGCCAGGCCCGGGUCAGGGCCAUCUGGAACCACUUCAUGACCCGCGCGGUGUCCAGGUACGGGGAGUCUCCGGCGCACAGCAGGCUCUCCAGCUCGCCGCCGGGCCGCGCCACGCUGCUCCUGCCGUGGAGGAGACACAGCAUGUCGUCCCCGAGCGUGGUCUUGCCGCAGACGCAGCCCAGCGCACCCUCAUCGGCCCUGACCACCCUGAUCUGGCCGUAGCCCUGGCGGCCCAAGGGCACCGAGCGGCGGGAGCAGCAGAGCUCCGGGCGGAAGUGGUAGGGCUCGGGGGGCACGAAGGGCACAAAGAGCUCGCACAGCAGCGGCCUGUCCACCUGCCAGUUCUCGUACAUGCUGUCCACGCCGAUGAAGUCCUCCAGCUCCAUGUCCGUGUCCCGGUUGCAGAGGCUCCUCAGGGCUUCCAGCAAGUCAUCCACGAAGCCUUCCACGAACUCCCGGGUGCGGGCCGCGUCGGCCGUGGCGCCCCGGAUGCAAUGCUCAUAAAAGUGGUGGAGGGUGGCCUUGUUGGGCAGGGUGAGGCCCCGGAGCGGGGCGCCGUCCAGGCCGGGCAGCUCGUCCUCGUCCCCGCCCAGGCACUCCGGGGAAGGCCCGUCCUGGUGGUCCUGCCGCCACACCUCGAUCACCAGGAAGAGGAUCAUGCAGAGGGUGCUCCACAGGUCCCAGGCUGUGCGAUUCUCAUUCUGCUGCUGCCCUUCCUCUGCCACGUGCUCCAGGGCCUCCUUCUCAGCUGCCAGCCGGGCCACCUCCUCCUCCAGCCUGGAGGAGAAAUGUUAGAUAUGAUGACUGGAGCAGUUUCUACGCUGUUGUUUGGGGCCCCAAAUACAGUUUUUAGAUUUCAUGGAUACUAA